CCCCGCCCCGCAGAGGGUCACAGUGGUGACCUGGGCCUCCCGGCUGGGGGACAGUACUCGGACAAGCCUGGGACAGUCUGGCUGCCUGCAGUUCUGCACUUUGGAGAUGGGCCUUGGGCAGGCAGGGGCUCCCCAGGGGCAGGGAGCCUGUGAUUUCAGCCCCAGAGGGGACCGUGCCUCACAGGUGCCGCCCUGGGUGUGUGCCUUGCCUGCCCGGGGGCCUUGACCGGACAACCCAGGUGGCACCGAGGAUCUUCCCACAGCAGAGGACAAUUAGGAGGGGAGAACAGCAUCGAAUCUUCUGAUUCAUCUGCCCACAGGGCUUAGCAGACUGGCCGACUGGAGGAGUCCCUCGCUGCAUUUUGUCAGACUAUGGGUGUGUACGUAUGUACGUACGUAAGUAUAAAUGAAAGAAUGAAAAAAGAAAGAAAGGAAAGAAAGAAGGAAGAAAGAAAGAGAGAAAAGGAAGAAAGAAAGGCAGAAAGAAAGAAAGGAGGAAAGAAAGGAAGGAAGAAAGAAAGAAGAGAAAGGAAGGAAGAAAGGAAGAAAAGAGAGAAUCAAAUAGAAUCAGAGGUAAGGUGUUUGCUUUCAAUACCUACCACCAAAAUACCAACCCCUCUGCCCCUGCCAACAAAAACAUUCAUCUCUUCACCUCUUUUCCCCAUUGGUCACUUGUGGGGAGCAGGGGGUAAGGCUGUGCCCUACCUCCUGAGUGUUUAAUAAGCCAUCAGGCAUCAAUACUCACUGGGGAUUGUCAGAGUCUCGGGGCAGCCGGUGGGAGCUGAGUCUGAUGAGGCUGUGGGAGGAGAAGAGGAGGAAACUGGGGAGACUUGAUGGGGAGGCCAUGAGCUGUCAAGGGGCCCUGGACACUGGCCUUCCAAGUGACAGAAGGGAAAGCAGGAGGACACGGGAGGACUCAGAGGAGGAGAUGGGUCAUUGAAGUCCAGUGCGGCCAAGCCUCCAACUCUGGACCUGCUUCCCUGCCUCUUUCCACACUUGUUCUCACGCAGCAGACUUGGGCCGGGGCCCGCGGGGCCUGCGGGGUGAGAGGGCAAAGUUUUGGGCAGGGCCCUGAUCCUGCUGGGACCAGCCGAGCUGUCAGCAGGGCGAGUCCCAUAGCCCCAUGUUGGGAGGAUAAGGUGGCUCGUCUUCCCAAGGCGAGGCUGAGCGUGUCUUACUCUGUGCUGUGGUUGCCUGACCUCCUGCUGGAAUUCCUGACCCUGGUUUGGAGCUGCCCUGUCUGCAGCGCAUCGUGACAGGAUCCCUCACCCUGUACACUGGCUUGAAAUGUGGUGAAAUAAAUGUCAUAAUUUUAAGACUCUAAGUGUCAACAGUCCCCAACAGACGAGGGUUCGAUUUAUGAUUUUUGGACUUUAUGAUGGUACCUAGUGAUACAUAUUUAGUAGAAACCGUACUUCAAAUUUUGAUCUUUUCCCUGCCUAACAAUACCCUGUAUCUUUUCUUGCGAUACUGGGCUAUGACAGCCACACCAUCUCGGGGGUAAACAGCUAACACACAUACAACCAUUCUGCACCCAGAUGACCAGAAUGUUUUUCACUUUCAGUACGAUAGUCAAUCAAUGACAUGAGAUAGCCAACACUUUAUUCUAUGAUAGGCUUCGUGUUAGAUGCUUUUGUCCAGGCUAAUGGAAGUGUUCUGUUUAAGAUAGGCUAGGCUAACUCAUGAUGUUUGGUAGGCUAGGUGGAUUAAAUACAUUUUCAAUUUAUGGUAUUUUCAACUGACAAUGGGUUGACUGGGAUGUAACCCCAUCGUAAG
Long non-coding RNA from Aethalodelphis obliquidens (Pacific white-sided dolphin), 1776 nucleotides. RefSeq lists it as uncharacterized. NCBI's taxonomy places the organism in Eukaryota, Metazoa, Chordata, Mammalia, Artiodactyla, Delphinidae. The record is from RefSeq and is a predicted model, not a curated record. The transcript has 3 exons.